Molecule: transfer RNA, 63 nt
Filed under: Phanuelus gladstone
Lineage: Eukaryota; Metazoa; Arthropoda; Arachnida; Araneae; Salticidae
Description: tRNA-Leu
Source: RNAcentral
AUUGGAUUGAUUAGAGGUUCAUAAUUAAGGCUUAAACUUAAUGCAUUAAUCUGCCAAUUAGAA